This 399-nucleotide ribosomal RNA is filed under the name Proasellus aquaecalidae. RNAcentral describes it as "partial 16S ribosomal RNA". It matches the Rfam family "Bacterial large subunit ribosomal RNA", at positions 1936 to 2577 of the family's 2925-position model. Lineage: Eukaryota; Metazoa; Arthropoda; Malacostraca; Isopoda; Asellidae. The record is from RNAcentral.
GUAUUUUGACUGUGCAAAGGUAGCAUAAUCAUUUGUCUUUUAAUUGGAGGCUGGAAUGAAGGAGGUGACGAAAUUUAGACUAUUGAGGUAUAAAAUAAAAUUAACAUAAAGAUUAAAAGGUCUUUAUUAAUCAAAGGGACGAUAAGACCCUAUAAAACUUUACUAUGGACUAAAUUAUAUAGGGGGAAUCUAGAUAUAUAGUUUAGCUGGGGCGGCUUAUAUAAAAACAAUUGUAGGAAAAAUAUAUGGUAUAAAAAUUUAGAACUCUAAUAUGAAAUAAACAAGUUACUUUAGGGAUAACAGCAUAAUUCUCCCAGAGAGUCCUAAUUGGCGGGAGAGCUUAUGACCUCGAUGUUGAAUUGGGGUGUCUAGUAUAAGUAGAAAUAUAUUAAGAUAGUC